CCCACAGGCCGUAAACCCAAGGUUUCCAGGGGAAGGUUCGUCCGCCCUGGGUUAGUCGGGACCUAAGCUGAGGCCGAAAGGCGUAGGUGAUGGACAACAGGUUGAUAUUCCUGUACUACCGAUAACCGUUUGAGAGAAGGGAUGACACAGUAGGAUAAGCUAAGCACACUGUUGGUUAUGUGUGCCCAAGCAUUGAGGCAGUCAAAGUAGGCAAAUACGCUUUGAUAAUGCUGGGAUGUGAUGGGGAGCGAAAUUUAGUAGCGAAGUAGCUGAUUUCACACUGUCAAGAAAAGUCUCUAUCGAGGUUAAAGGUACCCGUACCGCAAACCGACACAGGUGGGUGAGGAGAGUAUCCUAAGGCCAGCGAGAGAACUGUUGUUAAGGAACUCGGCAAAAUGACCCCGUAACUUAGGGAUAAGGGGUGCCACCAUCAGGUGGCCGCAGAGAAUAGGCCCAAGCGACUGUUUACCAAAAACAUAGGUUUCUGCUAAGUCGCAAGACGAUGUAUAGGAGCUGACGCCUGCCCGGUGCUGGAAGGUUAAGGGGAUCUGUUAGAGCAAUCGAAGCAGUGAACUUAGGCC
This 581-nucleotide ribosomal RNA is filed under the name Clostridioides difficile. RNAcentral describes it as "bacterial LSU rRNA". It matches the Rfam family "Bacterial large subunit ribosomal RNA", at positions 1329 to 1919 of the family's 2925-position model. The record is from RNAcentral. Lineage: Bacteria; Bacillati; Bacillota; Clostridia; Peptostreptococcales; Peptostreptococcaceae.